RNAcentral lists this long non-coding RNA (1024 nucleotides) under Equus caballus (horse). RNAcentral's name for it is "lncRNA (ENSECAG00000052396.1)". The record is from RNAcentral. Lineage: Eukaryota; Metazoa; Chordata; Mammalia; Perissodactyla; Equidae.
CUAGAAGGACAAAGCCUGGCCUGUGGGACUGGCUCUGCCGCUUACUGGGGCCUCGUGCAAGGCACUCAGCUUCUCAGAGCUUUGUAAUACUCCCAACCUUCCCACCUCACAAGGCCUCCGGCAGGAUGUGUCACACUUUGUAAAUGGAAAAUCUUUCGGAAUAAGGGCUCCUCAGAGGAAGCGGCAAGUAUCAUCUGAGCCCGAUGGCACAAGCACAGUCCUACCACAUAUCUAUCUCGCUGCUGCACGUCUUCACCAGCACUCAACAGGACUUUCCUCAAAAAACCGUUGGGCGAGUCCACAUAGGCUUUCUACUCUGUUCCUUUGGUUUGCAUGUCUAUCCGUUUGGAAAUCCCACACUGACUUCAUCACUGCAGCUUUGUAGGAAGUCUGGGCAUCAGUACCAACAAAAUUUCUAACAUCACAAAAUAAAAGCUUGUCUUCAACUUGCUGAAAGAGGACACCUACCACAGCAUGGCUUGCCAAACAGUGCCAUGUCUACACCUGGGAUCUGAACCAGCGAACCCCAAGCUGCUGAAGCAGAACGUGCACACCUAAUGCUGUGCCACCAGAGCUCCUGCUGAGCAGCGUUGCCUUCUUCCAGAGGAUCCAGCCUCGCCACCACCUUCAGGCAUAUGGCUGUGUGGGUCUCCCAGACGUCUCCUGUGUUGUAUGUGUGUCCUCUGUUGGUGUUUGAAUGUCCUUUUCGUUGUAUUUUAGAGGAGAGAGCCUGAGGGAAGAGCUCACUCCACCAUGAUGCUGACAUCACUCCCAGUUCUAUUUUUCCUGAGUCCAGAUAUGAGUCAACAUCAUAUUACUCUCACGUCCCAACUCUGCAAGGGAGUCCAGUCCUCCUUUGCCAGAUUUUGAUGGGAUCCACCCCUUUAUCAGCCACAGAGAUGCCGUCUCUGAUAUUCCCAUGUGAUUCUAACCUGUUAUGGUAUAGACAGACCUGUGACCUCCACUACGACUGUGGUGCCUUGCCUUUAUGCUCUCUCAGCUUUAUGGCCUCUAAAAAUAGCAG